GGGUUGUAAAGCUCUUUCGCACGCGACGAUGAUGACGGUAGCGUGAGAAGAAGCCCCGGCUAACUUCGUGCCAGCAGCCGCGGUAAUACGAAGGGGGCUAGCGUUGUUCGGAAUUACUGGGCGUAAAGGGCGCGUAGGCGGUUUAUCAAGUCAGGCGUGAAAGCCCCGGGCUCAACCUGGGAAUUGCGUUUGAUACUGGUAGACUUGAGUUCGGGAGAGGUGAGUGGAAUUCCCAGUGUAGAGGUGAAAUUCGUAGAUAUUGGGAAGAACACCGGUGGCGAAGGCGGCUCACUGGACCGAUACUGACGCUGAGGCGCGAAAGCGUGGGGAGCAAACAGGAUUAGAUACCCUGGUAGUCCACGCCGUAAACGAUGUGCGCUAGACGCUGGG
This 390-nucleotide ribosomal RNA is filed under the name uncultured Alphaproteobacteria bacterium. RNAcentral describes it as "bacterial SSU rRNA". It matches the Rfam family "Bacterial small subunit ribosomal RNA", at positions 420 to 827 of the family's 1533-position model. The record is from RNAcentral. Lineage: Bacteria; Pseudomonadati; Pseudomonadota; Alphaproteobacteria.